RNAcentral lists this ribosomal RNA (483 nucleotides) under uncultured bacterium. RNAcentral describes it as "bacterial SSU rRNA". It matches the Rfam family "Bacterial small subunit ribosomal RNA", at positions 328 to 803 of the family's 1533-position model. The record is from RNAcentral.
GAAUUCAACUCCUACGGGAGGCAGCAGUGGGGAAUAUUGGACAAUGGGCGCAAGCCUGAUCCAGCCAUGCCGCGUGAGUGAAGAAGGCCUUCGGGUUGUAAAGCUCUUUUGUCAGGGGAGAAACGGUAGUAGCUAGUAUCUAUUACUAAUGACGGUACCUGAAGAAUAAGCACCGGCUAACUACGUGCCAGCAGCCGCGGUAAUACGUAGGGUGCAAGCGUUAAUCGGAAUUACUGUGCGUAAAGCGUGCGCAGGCGGUUGUGUAAGUCAGAUGUGAAAUCCCCGGGCUCAACCUGGGAAUUGCAUUUGAGACUGCACGGCUAGAGUGUGUCAGAGGGGGGUAGAAUUCCACGUGUAGCAGUGAAAUGCGUAGAUAUGUGGAGGAAUACCGAUGGCGAAGGCAGCCCCCUGGGAUAACACUGGCGCUCAUGCACGAAAGCGUGGGGAGCAAACAGGAUUAGAAACCCUAGUAGUCCAGGCGUU